Molecule: ribosomal RNA, 400 nt
Filed under: uncultured bacterium
Lineage: Bacteria
Description: bacterial SSU rRNA
Rfam family: Bacterial small subunit ribosomal RNA
Source: RNAcentral
AUUGAACGCUGGCGGAAUGCUUUACACAUGCAAGUCGAACGGCAGCACGGGUGCUUGCACCUGGUGGCGAGUGGCGAACGGGUGAGUAAUGCAUCGGAACGUGCCAUUGAGUGGGGGAUAACGUAGCGAAAGUUGCGCUAAUACCGCAUAUUCUGUGAGCAGGAAAGCAGGGGACCGCAAGGCCUUGCGCUCUUUGAGCGGCCGAUGUCAGAUUAGCUAGUUGGUGAGGUAACGGCUUACCAAGGCGACGAUCUGUAGCGGGUCUGAGAGGAUGAUCCGCCACACUGGAACUGAGACACGGUCCAGACUCCUACGGGAGGCAGCAGUGGGGAAUUUUGGACAAUGGGCGCAAGCCUGAUCCAGCCAUGCCGCGUGAGUGAAGAAGGCCUCGGUUGUAAAG